Molecule: ribosomal RNA, 403 nt
Filed under: Verrucomicrobiota bacterium
Lineage: Bacteria; Pseudomonadati; Verrucomicrobiota
Description: Verrucomicrobia bacterium partial 16S ribosomal RNA
Rfam family: Bacterial small subunit ribosomal RNA
Source: RNAcentral
UGGGGAAUAUUGCACAAUGGGGGAAACCCUGAUGCAGCGACGCCGCGUGAGCGAAGAAGGCUUUCGAGUCGUAAAGCUCUGUCCUAUGAGAAGAUAAUGACGGUAUCAUGGGAGGAAGCCCUGGCUAAAUACGUGCCAGCAGCCGCGGUAAUACGUAUGGGGCGAGCGUUGUCCGGAAUUAUUGGGCGUAAAGGGUACGUAGGCGGUUUUUUAAGUCAGGUGUCAAAGCGUGGAGCUUAACUCCAUUAAGCACUUGAAACUGAAAGACUUGAGUGAAGGAGAGGAAAGUGGAAUUCCUAGUGUAGCGGUGAAAUGCGUAGAUAUUAGGAGGAAUACCGGUGGCGAAGGCGACUUUCUGGACUUUUACUGACGCUCAGGUACGAAAGCGUGGGGAGCAAACAGG